RNAcentral lists this transfer RNA (96 nucleotides) under Cobetia sp. AM6. Its description in RNAcentral is "tRNA-Ile". The record is from RNAcentral. Lineage: Bacteria; Pseudomonadati; Pseudomonadota; Gammaproteobacteria; Oceanospirillales; Halomonadaceae.
GGCGUGGCUCGGGGCGCUGGUGCUGGGCCUGGCGCUGAUGCUGCCGGGCACACCCGCGGUGACGAGCCAGCUGGCUCAGCAUCUGGCGCCGCACUG